Paramisgurnus dabryanus is the source of this 799-nucleotide long non-coding RNA. RefSeq lists it as uncharacterized. The record is from RefSeq and is a predicted model, not a curated record. Lineage: Eukaryota; Metazoa; Chordata; Actinopteri; Cypriniformes; Cobitidae.
AUAGCAUGAUAAUUAAUACAUUUUUAAAUCAAUCACUUUGUCUCUGCACAAUGAACAUUAUCAAAUAUUAUUAAUGUUGUAAAAUAUAUUGUUCAUUGUUAGUUCAUAUUAGCUAAGGCAUUACCAAAUGUUAAGUAAUAAACUCUUAUAGUAAAGUGUUACUAAAUUUUCUUUUACCAUUUCCUUCACAAUGUCUAUUUAUUUCUAUGGCUAACAGAUUUUGUAACAUUUGUCUUUUUUACAGUCUUACCAUUGCUUGUAAGCUGGAUUGGGUAAGAUGGAUCAUCUUUAAAGGCACCAGGAGUUAAGGCAGAUGUGGAGGCACAACGGGUGAUACCAGACACACACCAAGCACAUUAUGUUCGGACAUUCAAUCAUGACAGGAUCCAGGUGGAUGCUGUCCAUUGAGGAAAGAGUUUGUUCAGAGGUUUCUGGAUAGAAUUAAUUCCAAAGAUGGGAAAAAGUGCACAUCCAGACAAGGAGCAAGCAAAAAGACAAGGAACUUGGUGCAGAGAAAAGCUGUGGCCAUUAACCCCCAUGUGAACAGCUUCAUGCAGUCCCUGAUUGAGUUCGAAUGGACGACUUCAAAGUAAAGGCCACUGUGGUCUGUCUGCCACAGUUUAAUGCAUUUAUUUUUAGUGUUAAAUGAAAUUUAAGUAGAAUAUUUAAAACUAUGGGCCAGUGUUCUUUUUACCACAGUGAAAUGUUACCUUUUAGUCGAUGAUGGACUUUAAACUGAAAACUUCAAACUAUGGACCAGUGUUCUAUUUGCCAGAGUUAAAUAUGUUACAGCAGGGGU